GACGAACGCUGGCGGCGUGCUUAACACAUGCAAGUCGAACGGAAAGGCCCUGCAGUUGUGGGGUGCUCGAGUGGCGAACGGGUGAGUAACACGGGAGUAACCUGCCCUUGACUUUGGGAUAACUUCAGGAAACUGGGGCUAAUACCGGAUAGGAGCUCCUGCUGCAUGGAGGGGGUUGGAAAGUUUCGGCGGUUGGGGAUGGACUCGCGGCUUAUCAGCUUGUUGGUGGGGUGGUGGAUUACCAAGGCUUUGACGGGUAGCCGGCCUGAGAGGGUGACCGGCCACAUUGGGACUGAGAUACGGCACAGACUACUACGGGAGGCAGCAGUGGGGAAUAUUGCACAAUGGGAGGAAGCCUGAUGCAGCAACGCCGCGUGCGGGAUGACGGCCUUCGGGUUGUAACCCGCUUUCGCCUGUGACGAAGCGUGAGUGACGGUAAUGGGUAAAGAAGCACCGGCUAACUACGUG
This 468-nucleotide ribosomal RNA is filed under the name uncultured bacterium. Its description in RNAcentral is "partial 16S ribosomal RNA". It matches the Rfam family "Bacterial small subunit ribosomal RNA", at positions 28 to 507 of the family's 1533-position model. The record is from RNAcentral.